UUGAACGCUGGCGGAAUGCUUUACACAUGCAAGUCGAGCGGCAGCGCGGCCUUCGGGCUGGCGGCGAGCGGCGAACGGGUGAGUAAUGCAUCGGAACAUGCCCAGUCGUGGGGGAUAACACUUCGAAAGAAGUGCUAAUACCGCAUACGUCCUGAGGGGGAAAGCGGGGGAUCGCAAGACCUCGCGCGAUUGGAGUGGCCGAUGUCAGAUUAGCUAGUUGGUGGGGUAAAGGCCUACCAAGGCGACGAUCUGUAGCUGGUCUGAGAGGAUGAUCAGCCACACUGGGACUGGGACACGGCCCAGACUCCUACGGGAGGCAGCAGUGGGGAAUUUUGGACAAUGGGGGCAACCCUGAUCCAGCCAUUCCGCGUGAGUGAAGAAGGCCUUCGGGUUGUAAAGCUCUUUCGGCAGGAACGAAACGGUGGGCUCUAACAUAGUCCGCUAAUGACGGUACCUGAAGAAGAAGCACCGGCUAACUACGUG
Molecule: ribosomal RNA, 483 nt
Filed under: uncultured bacterium
Lineage: Bacteria
Description: partial 16S ribosomal RNA
Rfam family: Bacterial small subunit ribosomal RNA
Source: RNAcentral